GGCUAACCUCUGGGAAAUUUGUUUGCUGAGCGGAAUGGCCUAGGAAUGGGUGAAACGAAAAUGGGGCCACAGUCAUCAAACCAACUAUGUGAAGUUUAUAAGAGGUCAAAGGCGGCCAUCUAGGUAUGCCCGUUCAUACAAGCCCUCUCCCACAUGGCCCCCCACGCCGCUCUAGAUACUGAUAAAUAAUUAUAUCUAACAACACUACCUAGCUAUCUUGCUACCUGCUCAAUAUUCAACUGAUUGCUAAUAGAAUAAAGAUCUCGAUUCAAGUAGAUAGUCCUAGCUAGCUAGAUGCCUAUCUGCUUUACUCACUACAUUCAUCAUUCAUAUUAGAAUGGAGAUUUCUAUCGAGCUCGCUUACUACUUGCCCACCCACUGUAUAUUCUAUCACCUACAUAAGUUGCAGCACUUCACUCUAUUUUUGCCUGCAGUUUCCAUAGGCCCCGUACCCUCUGCAAUGAGGGUCUUGAGGCUUCAUCCCCAAUUAAAAUAACAUGGAAUCAACAAAUCAUUUGCCCCUAGAAUUUGACAGCACAUUUGCCACCUCCAGCAAUAUUCUAUACUGUUUUAAAGAUAUCAAGAAGAAUAGAUUGUAUUAAGAAUAACAGAUACAUUAUGAGAAUGGGAGAAGACUGUGAUUUGAUGAUGGAUGGUUGAUUAGACGGAGCGAAGCGAAGUCUAAGAAUCAUACGAAUCUCCAGGGGAAAUCAAUGUUUGCGAAAAUGCGGCCGAAGUUUCAGUG
This 745-nucleotide small RNA is filed under the name Histoplasma capsulatum. RNAcentral describes it as "hypothetical RNA". Lineage: Eukaryota; Fungi; Ascomycota; Eurotiomycetes; Onygenales; Ajellomycetaceae. The record is from RNAcentral. RNAcentral also lists the same sequence under 1 other name.